This is a long non-coding RNA of Gorilla gorilla gorilla (western lowland gorilla), 2339 nucleotides long. RefSeq lists it as uncharacterized. The transcript has 2 exons. Lineage: Eukaryota; Metazoa; Chordata; Mammalia; Primates; Hominidae. The record is from RefSeq and is a predicted model, not a curated record.
AGGUCGGGGGCGUCCCCGCGGGUUAAGCGUGCAAGAGAGCGAGGUGCACCAGCGGGCAUGGAUGGCCUGUGCAGAGUCCAGUCUUGUGAGGGCGGCGAACUAGGCAGCGAAUCGCGGGAGUUUCCUAUUGGCAGCAGUCCGAGUCCCAGACGUUAAUUUGUAACAAAAGUAGCGAUGGCCAAGUCCAUAAAGGGGGCAUCUCGGAAAGCCGUUCGCAUGCACGGAAGAGAUGAAAGCCCCGUGCGCGCUAGAAAACGGUUUCGCAACUCACUUCGGGAAGCAAAUGCGCUGCCCCCCAAAACAUAAAGUUGGCGAACUGUGCCUGACCCCGCUGGGGUUUUGGAAUGCCUCGUCCUCACAGGAAAAAAAUCCAGGGAAAUCAUCUUUUCCUUAAAAAGCAAAAGUGUCCAAAUUAUUUCUGUGACUGAAGUAGUUUGUCUGCGGUUGGCCAGUGACAUGGCAAGGCCUUGUUUGUGCAUUUAAGGUAAAUCAGAUUCUCUUCUAGGAGUCUGGAAGAGAACUUCCCCAAAGGGCACCCUCUUUCCCUUCUGACACAGAGGAAAUACCACAUAUAAAGAGCUACAAAUGUUUGAAGGAGAAAAAAAAAAAAGAAAAAUUCCAGCAUGUUAAAAUUUGAUAUUUUAUGUAGGCCCUUUUCAGCAAUGGUAGUUAAUUCCAAAAAGAACCACACGAGAGGUUUCACAUGUGGGGUCAUCCAUCCUUCCAGGGACGCAGAAGGUUCCUACACAUACUAGGUGUCUGAUGAAUGUGAGCUCCCUUCCCCCUGCUUACCUCCUCCAUAGGAAUGCAUGCCUAUCCAGAAAAACACAAAACACACGCAUGUCAGGCCUCUGAGCCCAAGCCUGCACAUAUACAUCCAGAUGGCCUGAAGCAACUGAAGAAUCACAAAAGAAGUGAAAACGCUGAAGCAACUGAAGAAUCACAAAAGACGUGAAAAUGGCCGGUUCCUGCCUUAACUGAUAAGACAAUCACCUGUCCUCCUGCUCUUUGCUCUGUGAGAAAGAUCCACCUACAACCUCAGGUCCUCAGACCAACCAGCUCCAGGAACAUCUCACCAAUUUUAAAUUGGAAGACAAGAAUGUCAAGACUCUGAGCCCAAGCCUGCACAUAUACAUCCAGAUGGCAUGAAGCUACUGAAGAAUCACAAAAGAAGUGAAAAUGGUCGGUUCCUGCCUUAACUGAUGACAUUACCUUGUGAAAUUCCUUCUGGCUCAGAAGCUCCCCCACUGAGCACCUUGUGACGCCUGCCACUACCCACAAGAGAACAACCCCCUUUGACUGUAAUUUUCCACUACCUACCCAAAUCCUAUAAAACUGUCCCAGCCCUAACUUCCUUUGCUGACUCUCUUUUCGGACUCAGCCCACCUGCAAUUAGAAAGCUUUAUUGCUCACACAAAGCCUGUUGGUGGUCCCUUCACACGAACACACGUGACAAUGCACAUACACAUUUUUUAAGCAUUCCAAAAUCAUCACAUUUUUUUCAUAUCAAGCAGACAUUUCCAAGUGUAACAUUUUGUUAUUCAGAGAUAUUUCUAAGUCCUAAGUAGUGUUAAGAGGGUAAAUUAUUUGUACUAUUAUAUACUAAUUAGUCAUGGUUCAUAUAUAAUAUAGAAAUAUUUUAUUUCACAUUAACCAACAAAAAUAUGUUGAAACGAUUUCCAAUCUUUAAUUGUGAAAUAAUUGUAGGUUCACAAGAAGUUGCAAAUAUAGUAGAGGUGCUGUGUACCCUUCAUCCAGUUUCCCCCAAUGGUUACAUCUUUUUAUAACUAUAGUACAAUAUCAAAACAAGGAAAUUGGCAUUGUAUAAUGUAUGUGCCCACAGUAGGCCCCCCUUAUCCUCAGGGAAUAGUUCUAAGACUCCAGUAGAUGUCUGAACCCACCAAUAGUACCAAACCUGAUUGCCACUGUGAAAGUUGAUCAUAUAAAUUCAGUCAUUCUUAUCAUGCCCAAUUAAAACAAAGUCGAGAGGCCAGGGGAGAAAAGCACUCAGGAAACAUCAUAUAUUACCCUAAGAAUGUAAUUGUCUGCAACCCCACCCACAGAAACUGGUUAUUGUUAACUUAAAACCAGUUUUAUCUAAUAGCUAUUGAAACAACCUGCUUCUACUAUAAGACUUUUUACCCACUACCAACACUCACCAAUCAGAACUUGCCAGGUCCCCCAAAACUUUACAAGUGCUAAUGAACCUUCAGAACAAUACAUGUGACUCCUUUUUAUAAAACCUCAAACUUUCUCUUUGUUCGUUGGACAUACCAAAGACCACUCGUGUAUGCUUGGACUUGCAGUUCUUGCUUCCCAAAUAAAACGUUUUAGAUUCA